RNAcentral lists this long non-coding RNA (547 nucleotides) under Nicotiana tabacum (common tobacco). Its description in RNAcentral is "long non-coding RNA (NTAB_LNC002663)". The record is from RNAcentral. Lineage: Eukaryota; Viridiplantae; Streptophyta; Magnoliopsida; Solanales; Solanaceae.
UAUAUUCUUGGACAGAUACCGAAGAACCAAAGGCACCGGCACCUGCACCGGCACCGGCACAGGCACCGGCAGAGGAAGAAAAGGGAGAAGGGUAUGGGCAAUACGUGAAAAUGGCAGAAGGAUUUCUGAAACCAGGAGAUGGUGAAUCGGCAAAAGCAUCUGAAGGAGGAUCAGGACCAGAUUAUCUUAAGUUGGCCGGUGACUUCUUAGGCAAGAAGUGAUUAGUUUAAUCAUUUUUUUUUUUUUUUUUUAAAUUAUGGCUGUUAUAUUCCAAGUUUCUUUUCUUUCACUUUCUUUGCCACUGUUCAGUGUUCAUUACCGGCGGCGAAUUUCUCUAGUCGCCGGAGCUGGUUUUUACUUGGCAUAUGUAAUUUGUGUGUAUGUUUUUUUCCAGUAUGAUUUUUAGGGUGUAAUGGAAUUUGUGUUGUAUGGAUAAAGUGUGAACUUUUAUGAUGUUAUUGGUGUAUACGGUGCAGUGUGAUUCUUAUAUUCGGCUUCCUUUUAUUUUUUAUAUACAAUACAAAAAGAAGUAAUAUAAAGUUGUAAU